GUGGUAGAGUUUAGUGGUAGAGCACUUGCCUUGCAAGUGUGAGGCAUUGGGUUCAAUCCUAAUACCACA
Molecule: transfer RNA, 69 nt
Filed under: Marmota monax (woodchuck)
Lineage: Eukaryota; Metazoa; Chordata; Mammalia; Rodentia; Sciuridae
Description: tRNA.Ala
Rfam family: tRNA
About the family: Transfer RNA (tRNA) molecules are approximately 80 nucleotides in length. Their secondary structure includes four short double-helical elements and three loops (D, anti-codon, and T loops).
Source: RNAcentral